UGCAAGUGAACGGUAGCUGUGGAAAAGCUUGCUUUUCCGCUGAUAGUACACGGGUGCGCAAUGCGUAUAGAACCUACCUUUUACUUGGAGAAUAGCCCAGAAAAAUUUGGAUUAAAGCUCCAUAGUAUUGUUUUGAGGCAUCUUAAGAUGAUUAAAGUGUUACGGUAAAAGAUUGGCUAUGCGUCCUAUCAGUUAGUUGGUAAAGAGUAACGGCUUACCAAGACAUCGAGUAGGUAGGGGCCCUGAGAGGGGGAUCCCCCACACUGGUACUGAAACACGGACCAGACUCAAACGGGAGGCAGCAGUGAGGAAUAUUGGACAAUGGGCGGAAGCCUGAUCCAGCCAUGCCGCGUGCAGGAAGACAGCCCUAUGGGUCGUAAACUGCUUUUAUACAGGAAGCAAUAAGUCCCUUGCGAGGGAUGAUGACGGUACUGUAAGAAUAAUGACCGGAUAACUCCGUGCCAAAAGACGAGGUAAUACGGAUGGUCCAAAGCGUUAUCACGGAAUCCUCUGGGUCUAAAGGGGUCCGCUGCGCCGGCAAAUUAAGUCAGGGGGUGAAAUGAUUGCAGAUCAAACCGUAACAAAUGCCCUUUGAUAACUGGUAGUACUUGAGUCAAUGGUGAACUUGGCCGGGAAUAUUGUAGUUGUAGCG
Molecule: ribosomal RNA, 652 nt
Filed under: uncultured Bacteroidota bacterium
Lineage: Bacteria; Pseudomonadati; Bacteroidota
Description: bacterial SSU rRNA
Rfam family: Bacterial small subunit ribosomal RNA
Source: RNAcentral